RNAcentral lists this ribosomal RNA (204 nucleotides) under uncultured bacterium. RNAcentral's name for it is "partial 16S ribosomal RNA". It matches the Rfam family "Bacterial small subunit ribosomal RNA", at positions 1297 to 1500 of the family's 1533-position model. The record is from RNAcentral.
AUUGCAGGCUGCAACCCGCCUGCAUGAAGUUGGAAUCGCUAGUAAUCGCGGAUCAGCAUGCCGCGGUGAAUACGUUCCCGGGCCUUGUACACACCGCCCGUCACACCAUGAGAGUCGGGAACACCCGAAGUCGGUAGUCUAACCGCAAGGAGGACGCCGCCGAAGGUGGGGUUGAUGAUUAGGGUUAAGUCGUAACAAGGUACC